GACGAACGCUGGCGGCGUGCUUAACACAUGCAAGUCGAACGGAAAGGCCCUGCUUUUGUGGGGUGCUCGAGUGGCGAACGGGUGAGUAACACGUGAGUAACCUGCCCUUGACUUUGGGAUAACUUCAGGAAACUGGGGCUAAUACCGGAUAGGAGCUCCUGCUGCAUGGUGGGGGUUGGAAAGUUUCGGCGGUUGGGGAUGGACUCGCGGCUUAUCAGCUUGUUGGUGGGGUAGUGGCUUACCAAGGCUUUGACGGGUAGCCGGCCUGAGAGGGUGACCGGCCACAUUGGGACUGAGAUACGGCCCAGACUCCUACGGGAGGCAGCAGUGGGGAAUAUUGCACAAUGGGCGGAAGCCUGAUGCAGCAACGCCGCGUGCGGGAUGACGGCCUUCGGGUUGUAAACCGCUUCCGCCUGUGACGAAGCGUGAGUGACGGUAAUGGGGAAAGAAGCACCGGCUAACUACGU
This 467-nucleotide ribosomal RNA is filed under the name uncultured bacterium. Its description in RNAcentral is "partial 16S ribosomal RNA". It matches the Rfam family "Bacterial small subunit ribosomal RNA", at positions 28 to 506 of the family's 1533-position model. The record is from RNAcentral.